Molecule: transfer RNA, 67 nt
Filed under: Nippolachnus piri
Lineage: Eukaryota; Metazoa; Arthropoda; Insecta; Hemiptera; Aphididae
Description: tRNA-Phe
Source: RNAcentral
AUUUAAAUAGCUUAAGAUUAAGAGUAUUAUAUUGAAGAUAUAAUGGUAAUGUAAAUAUUUUUAAAUA